UAAAAACAAGCAUCUUUUUAUUUACUCUGUUCCUUAAUUCGGUUAUAUAAUACUAUUUCAUACACAGGCCAAACCAAAUUCGUUGAUUCUCCCUUCUUUCAAUCUUUUCUCCCAGUUGUUUACGCUAUUGUUACCCUUUACUCGUAUUCCAUUCAUGUGGCAAGAAAAGAAUCCUAAUUCCGCUGACGGAUUUAAAAAGAAAUUUUUUCGGACCGCUACGAAUUCUUAUUUGAGCGGAAGUGUGUUUAGUGAAAUUUUUUACAAGGAAAGAUUCUUUCACUAAAUAAGUAAGAAAAUGAGUUUUAACUAACUUUAUUGAAUACAAAUCAAUCAUACAUUAAAUAUCAUUUAAAUUAGAAAUUCUGUGAUGAAUCAAAAAAUCCUUUAAAUGUACAGCGCAUUUCAUUUUUACAUCGAUAGAUCAUCAAAAUACCAUAUUCCAAAAAAAUAAAGAUUCUUCCCUCGUAAAAAGGUCAAGAACAUGAAUCCAUGCACUCGGCUAAAAAUAAAAACAAAACAGAAUAAAGAUAUAUGUUGGAUAAGAAACGAAUGGAUUCAAUAAUGCGGCUAGAAUACUGUGUUGGAACUUUUGAGAAAUUUCCUCAAAUUAAUAUAAAAAUUAAUUAAAAAAAUUUAGGAAAAAAUACAAAAAAUAGUAGAAGCUUUAGAAAACAAUUCAAAAAAUUAUUUCAAAUAAACAAU
Schizosaccharomyces pombe (fission yeast) is the source of this 702-nucleotide non-coding RNA. Lineage: Eukaryota; Fungi; Ascomycota; Schizosaccharomycetes; Schizosaccharomycetales; Schizosaccharomycetaceae. The record is from the annotation of a GenBank genome assembly.